AGAGUUUGAUCCUGGCUCAGAUUGAACGCUGGCGGCAGGCCUAACACAUGCAAGUCGAACGGUAACAGGAAACAGCUUGCUGUUUCGCUGACGAGUGGCGGACGGGUGAGUAAUGUCUGGGAAACUGCCUGAUGGAGGGGGAUAACUACUGGAAACGGUAGCUAAUACCGCAUAACGUCGCAAGACCAAAGAGGGGGACCUUCGGGCCUCUUGCCAUCGGAUGUGCCCAGAUGGGAUUAGCUAGUAGGUGGGGUAACGGCUCACCUAGGCGACGAUCCCUAGCUGGUCUGAGAGGAUGACCAGCCACACUGGAACUGAGACACGGUCCAGACUCCUACGGGAGGCAGCAGUGGGGAAUAUUGCACAAUGGGCGCAAGCCUGAUGCAGCCAUGCCGCGUGUAUGAAGAAGGCCUUCGGGUUGUAAAGUACUUUCAGCGGGGAUGAAGGGAGUAAAGUUAAUACCUUUGCUCAUUGACGUUACCCGCAGAAGAAGCACCGGCUAACUCCGUGCCAGCAGCCGCGGUAAUACGGAGGGUGCAAGCGUUAAUCGGAAUUACUGGGCGUAAAGCGCACGCAGGCGGUUUGUUAAGUCAGAUGUGAAAUCCCCGGGCUCAACCUGGGAACUGCAUCUGAUACUGGCAAGCUUGAGUCUCGUAGAGGGGGGUAGAAUUCCAGGUGUAGCGGUGAAAUGCGUAGAGAUCUGGAGGAAUACCGGUGGCGAAGGCGGCCCCCUGGACGAAGACUGACGCUCANGUGCGAAAGCGUGNGGAGCAAACAGGAUUAGAUACCCUGG
This 793-nucleotide ribosomal RNA is filed under the name uncultured bacterium. RNAcentral's name for it is "bacterial SSU rRNA". It matches the Rfam family "Bacterial small subunit ribosomal RNA", at positions 8 to 790 of the family's 1533-position model. The record is from RNAcentral.